This is a long non-coding RNA of Oncorhynchus tshawytscha (Chinook salmon), 473 nucleotides long. Lineage: Eukaryota; Metazoa; Chordata; Actinopteri; Salmoniformes; Salmonidae. The record is from Ensembl.
GCCCUAUCCAGACCAUUCACCAGUCCAGUCACUCAGCCCUAUCCAGACCAUUCACCCAGUCCAGUCACUCAGCCCUAUCCAGACCAUUCACUCAGCCCUAUCCAGACCAUUCACCCAGUCCAGUCACUCAGCCCUAUCCAGACCAUUCACCCAGUCCAGUCACUCAGCCCUAUCCAGACCAUUCACCCAGUCCAGUCACUCAGCCCUAUCCAGACCAUUCACCCAGCCCUAUCCAGACCAUUCACCCAGCCCUAUCCAGACCAUUCACCCAGCCCAAUCACUCAGCCCUAUCCAGACCAUUCACCCAGCCCAGUCACUCAGCCCUAUCCAGACCAUUCACCCAGUCCAGUCACUCAGCCCUAUCCAGACCAUUCACCCAGUCCAUUCACUCAGCCCUAUCCAGACCAUUCACCCAGUCCAGUCACUCAGCCCUAUCCAGACCAUUCACCCAGCCCAGUCACUCAGCCCUAGCC